This 253-nucleotide ribosomal RNA is filed under the name uncultured bacterium. RNAcentral describes it as "partial 16S ribosomal RNA". It matches the Rfam family "Bacterial small subunit ribosomal RNA", at positions 524 to 776 of the family's 1533-position model. The record is from RNAcentral.
UACAGAGGGUGCGAGCGUUAAUCGGAAUAACUGGGCGUAAAGGGCGCGUAGGCGGUUGAUCAAGUGAGAGGUGAAAUCCCCGGGCUUAACCUGGGAACAGCCUUUCAGACUGGUUAGCUGGAGUACAGUAGAGGGUGGUGGAAUUUCCGGUGUAGCGGUGAAAUGCGUAGAGAUCGGAAGGAACAUCAGUGGCGAAGGCGACCACCUGGACUGACACUGACGCUGAGGCGCGAAAGCGUGGGUAGCAAACAGG